UUGGAGUGAAGGAGGAAGAACAUAAAACACUCAAUCAACUCUUUGUUAAGGUCUUAAUGAAGGAGCCGAGACUCCCCACAGCUAAUAUCUCCAACAUGAUGGCAGCACAUGUUUAACGAUCUGACUAUCCGAAAAUGAGGAAAAGCUGAAUCUCUGAAGCAGCAGUUCCAGUGACACGGUGCUCUGAAUUAGCCCACGGGGAGCUCAGCUGGCUGCGUCAGAGCAGCACUCCUGAUCUCCCUCGUAACCCCCGGCUACAACUUUUGAGGCCCAUCGCUCCUGGCACUGCCUCCACCAGCCUGACAGGCCUGAGGUCUUCAUCACUCCCUGCUGGAGGCCAUCCAAACCCAUCCCAGCCAGCCUGCUCCUCUGAGGUCCAGCGCUGGAAUGCAGACUUACACACAUAAUCCCGGCUCAAGGACGUCCAGCUUAGCUGUGGUGACGAGUGCUACGUGAGGAAGAGACAAGUUGGAUUGAGCCAGUACAUUCCUUAGGGAUCCUUAGCUACUGCACAUCCUAUCACAGUCCUUACACACCUGAGCCAGGGCUGCAGGCCACGGCCCUUUCCACCGAAGGGACAUUAAAUGUCAUCUGUCAAAGUUGUUGUACUUUGGUUUAAGUAUUCCGGCUCAGAGCUGAUGUCCAUCCAUCACUCUUUAUAGCAUGGAAACAUUGUUAGCACUUAUUAAAGAAGAAACCUCAGCAACCACCUAUAAACACUUCACCGGUGAGGUCACGGACCAGGAAGCGACGAGUCCUGACUUAUCACUGUGUGGGUUCCUCAGUUUGAGCAUGUAAAAAAGGCUACUGGAGCAAAAAUGACUAUAAAAACUGCCUCCACGAUCGGAUGACCUCAUCCCUCUCAGGCAGAUAGCCAUGCAGGUAGAGAGUAAACAGGAUGGCAGGUCAAAAGGGCAAGACUUGAACUGUGUCUUAUCAGAAGUGUUUGUGUAUAAACGCCAACAAUGAAGCUGCAGAUUAAAAAUCUAUAUUAUUGCA
This is a long non-coding RNA of Pygocentrus nattereri (red-bellied piranha), 999 nucleotides long. RefSeq lists it as uncharacterized. The transcript has 6 exons. NCBI's taxonomy places the organism in Eukaryota, Metazoa, Chordata, Actinopteri, Characiformes, Serrasalmidae. The record is from RefSeq and is a predicted model, not a curated record.